Molecule: long non-coding RNA, 356 nt
Filed under: Triticum aestivum (bread wheat)
Lineage: Eukaryota; Viridiplantae; Streptophyta; Magnoliopsida; Poales; Poaceae
Description: long non-coding RNA (TAES_LNC003251)
Source: RNAcentral
CACAAUCAAAAUAGGUGUUUUGUCCAAUGGAACCACAAUCAAAAAGCAUGAAGGCCUAUGAAAGAUAGUGGGAAUUGCAGACUAACCACCCUUGUUAUGAGCACGGAGCCUAUUCAACAAGAACCUGUGCCUUUUAUGGUUUUUGGCAGUUUCAGCAGAACUAAGCAAUGGAAAGAACCCAUCUCCUAUUGGACACAGAAAACAAAACACACGCUAAGGGAACAAGGGCCUGUCUAGCAAGGCAUGUGGAAAGAAACGAACAGCAUCAACAGAGUUAAGGAACACACGCUUCCUCUUUCGAACAACGGGAGCAAGAGGCCUCGGACGUAUAAAAGGCAAAACAGGAACAACACGAG